UUUGAGAUUUUGAUCCUGGCUCAGGACGAACGCUGGCGGCGUGCUUAACACAUGCAAGUCGAACGAUGAAGCCCUUCGGGGUGGAUUAGUGGCGAACGGGUGAGUAACACGUGGGCAAUCUGCCCUUCACUCUGGGACAAGCCCUGGAAACGGGGUCUAAUACCGGAUACCACUCCUGCCUGCAUGGGCGGGGGUUGAAAGCUCCGGCGGUGAAGGAUGAGCCCGCGGCCUAUCAGCUUGUUGGUGGGGUAAUGGCCCACCAAGGCGACGACGGGUAGCCGGCCUGAGAGGGCGACCGGCCACACUGGGACUGAGACACGGCCCAGACUCCUACGGGAGGCAGCAGUGGGGAAUAUUGCACAAUGGGCGAAAGCCUGAUGCAGCGACGCCGCGUGAGGGAUGACGGCCUUCGGGUUGUAAACCUCUUUCAGCAGGGAAGAAGCGAGAGUGACGGUACCUGCAGAAGAAGCGCCGGCUAACUACGUGCCAGCAGCCGCGGUAAA
RNAcentral lists this ribosomal RNA (503 nucleotides) under Streptomyces subrutilus. RNAcentral's name for it is "bacterial SSU rRNA". It matches the Rfam family "Bacterial small subunit ribosomal RNA", at positions 1 to 524 of the family's 1533-position model. The record is from RNAcentral. Lineage: Bacteria; Bacillati; Actinomycetota; Actinomycetes; Kitasatosporales; Streptomycetaceae.